GUUUGAUCCUGGCUCAGGAUGAACGCUGGCGGCGUGCCUAAUACAUGCAAGUCGAACGCACUAGCAAUAGUGAGUGGCGAACGGGUGAGUAACACGUAGGUAACUUACCUCUAAGACGAGGAUAACGACUGGAAACGGUCGCUAAAACUGGAUAGGAUCACUGGAGUCAUCUCUGGUGAUUUAAAAGGGCUUAACAGCCAUACUUAGAGAAAGGCCUGCGGCGCAUUAGCUAGUUGGUGAGGUAGAGGCUCACCAAGGCGAUGAUGCGUAGCCGGACUGAGAGGUCGAACGGCCACAUUGGGACUGAGACACGGCCCAAACUCCUACGGGAGGCAGCAGUAGGGAAUUUUCGGCAAUGGGGGAAACCCUGACCGAGCAACGCCGCGUGAAUGAAGAAGUAUUUCGGUAUGUAAAGUUCUUUUAUUAAGGAAGAAUGUGUUUUAUAGGAAAUGAUAGAACAGUGACGGUACUUAAUGAAUAAGCCCCGGCUAACUAUGUGCCAGCAGCCGCGGUAAUACAUAGGGGGCAAGCGUUAUCCGGAAUUAUUGGGCGUAAAGGGUGCGUAGGCGGUCAUUUAAGUCUAAGGUGUAAGUGCAAGGCUCAACCUUGUGAUGCUUUAGAAACUGGGAGACUAGAGAUAGAUAGAGGCAAGUGGAAUUCCAUGUGUAGCGGUAAAAUGCGUAAAUAUAUGGAGGAACACCAGUGGCGAAGGCGACUUGCUGGGUCUAUACUGACGCUGAGGCACGAAAGCGUGGGGAGCAAACAGGAUUAGAUACCCUGGUAGUCCACGCCGUAAACGAUGAGUACUAAGUGUUGGGGGAACCCAGUGCUGUAGUUAACAUAUUAAGUACUCCGCCUGAGUAGUACGUACGCAAGUAUGAAACUCAAAGGAAUUGACGGGACCCCGCACAAGCGGUGGAUGAUGUUGUUUAAUUCGAAGAUACGCGAAAAACCUUACCAGGUCUUGACAUACUCUGCAAAGCUAUAGAGAUAUAGUGGAG
This 1001-nucleotide ribosomal RNA is filed under the name uncultured bacterium. Its description in RNAcentral is "bacterial SSU rRNA". It matches the Rfam family "Bacterial small subunit ribosomal RNA", at positions 11 to 1016 of the family's 1533-position model. The record is from RNAcentral.